GACUACUCGGGUAUCUAAGCCUGUUUGCUCCCCACGCUUUCGCACCUCAGUGUCAGUAUCGGGCCAGUGAGCCGCCUUCGCCACUGGUGUUCUUGCGAAUAUCUACGAAUUUCACCUCUACACUCGCAGUUCCACUCACCUCUCCCGAACUCGAAGGUCGCCAGUAUCGAAGGCAGUUCCAGAGUUGAGCUCUGGGAUUUCACCCCCGACUUAACGACCCACCUACGUGCGCUUUACGCCCAGUGAUUCCGAGCAACGCUAGCCCCCUUCGUAUUACCGCGGCUGCUGGCACGAAGUUGGCCGGGGCUUUUUCUGCAGGUACCGUCAUUAUCGUCCCUGCUAAAAGAGCUUUACAACCCUAAGGCCUUCAUCACUCACGCGGCAUGGCUGGAUCAGGCUUGCGCCCAUUGUCCAAUAUUCCCCACUGCAGCCGCCCGUAGG
Molecule: ribosomal RNA, 441 nt
Filed under: uncultured Hyphomicrobiales bacterium
Lineage: Bacteria; Pseudomonadati; Pseudomonadota; Alphaproteobacteria; Hyphomicrobiales
Description: uncultured Rhizobiales bacterium partial 16S ribosomal RNA
Source: RNAcentral